Ribosomal RNA from Castor canadensis (American beaver), 135 nucleotides. The record is from Ensembl. Lineage: Eukaryota; Metazoa; Chordata; Mammalia; Rodentia; Castoridae.
GUCUACAGCCAUACUACCCUGAACGCAUCCAAUCUCAUCUGGUCUCAGAAGCUAAGCAGGGUUGGACCUGGUUAGUACUUGGAUGGGAGACAGAUCUUCAGAGGAGACCACUCAGAGACAAGCGGUUUGGAGACA